Molecule: ribosomal RNA, 470 nt
Filed under: uncultured bacterium
Lineage: Bacteria
Description: SSU rRNA
Rfam family: Bacterial small subunit ribosomal RNA
Source: RNAcentral
AGGAUAAACGCUGGCGGCGUGCCUAACACAUGCAAGUCGAACGCGCUUUCGGGCUUCGGUGCGAGAGCGAGUGGCGGACGGGUGAGUAACACAUGGGUACCUACCUUGGAGUGAGGGAUACCGGCGAGAAAUCGCCGACAAUACCGCAUAGGCUUCUUCACAAGGGAAGCAAAGUGACGCGAGUCACGCUGUGAGAUGGGCCUGUGGCCGAUUAGCUAGUUGGGGGGUAACGGCUUCCCAAGGCGACGAUCGGUAGCUGGUCUGAGAGGACGACCAGCCACACUGGGAUUGAGAACGGCCCAGACUCCUACGGGGGGCAGCAGUGAGGAAUUUUCCGCAAUGGAGGCAACUCUGACGGAGCAACGCCGCGUGCAGGAGGAAGGUUUUCGGAUCGUAAACUGCUCUUCUCGGGGACGAGCAAGGACGGUACCCGAGGAAGAAGCCCCGGCUAACUACGUGCCAGCAGCCGC